This is a long non-coding RNA of Gasterosteus aculeatus aculeatus (three-spined stickleback), 393 nucleotides long. NCBI's taxonomy places the organism in Eukaryota, Metazoa, Chordata, Actinopteri, Perciformes, Gasterosteidae. The record is from Ensembl.
CACAGAUGUGUCAGUCAGGAACGUCUUCAGGCCUUUGGCUUCUUUACCUCAACCCACAACCAUAGUGAUGUGUCACUGCAUAUAUAUAUAUAUAUGUGUUGUAUAACACAAACGGCACAUUUGUCCCCAACCUCAUCAUCGCUUGUUUCUUCCUCUGGUGGGCGGAGUCCUAACGAGCCAAUCAGGAGGCGGCGGAGGGGAGCGCUUAACGAGGGCGCCAUGGUGAACACACAUAUCCACGGCGGGUUUGUUAGAGAGACGCACUGCAGCGUUUGGGGAAAAAGGUCACAAGAGCCACGUGCUCAGUAGACGGCCAAGAACCUUCCUCCUCCAUAACCGGGCCGGGCGGUUCUUCUACCCACAGGUGGCCUCCAGACCAACUUGUUGUGUCUC